ACAAUGACUCUCGGCAACGGAUAUCUCGGCUCUCGCAUCGAUGAAGAACGCAGCGAAAUGCGAUACCUGGUGUGAAUUGCAGAAUCCCGUGAAUCAUCGAGUUUUUGAACGCAAGUUGCGCCCGAGGCCAUCAGGUUGAGGGCACGCCUGCCUGGGCGUCACG
Molecule: ribosomal RNA, 163 nt
Filed under: Dendrophthoe vitellina
Lineage: Eukaryota; Viridiplantae; Streptophyta; Magnoliopsida; Santalales; Loranthaceae
Description: 5.8S ribosomal RNA
Rfam family: 5.8S ribosomal RNA
About the family: 5.8S ribosomal RNA (5.8S rRNA) is a component of the large subunit of the eukaryotic ribosome. It is transcribed by RNA polymerase I as part of the 45S precursor that also contains 18S and 28S rRNA. Functionally, it is thought that 5.8S rRNA may be involved in ribosome translocation.
Source: RNAcentral